This 293-nucleotide ribosomal RNA is filed under the name Salmonella enterica subsp. enterica. Its description in RNAcentral is "partial 23S ribosomal RNA". It matches the Rfam family "Bacterial large subunit ribosomal RNA", at positions 187 to 518 of the family's 2925-position model. The record is from RNAcentral. Lineage: Bacteria; Pseudomonadati; Pseudomonadota; Gammaproteobacteria; Enterobacterales; Enterobacteriaceae.
GGGGAACUGAAACAUCUAAGUACCCCGAGGAAAAGAAAUCAACCGAGAUUCCCCCAGUAGCGGCGAGCGAACGGGGAGGAGCCCAGAGCCUGAAUCAGCAUGUGUGUUAGUGGAAGCGUCUGGAAAGGCGCGCGAUACAGGGUGACAGCCCCGUACACAAAAGCGCAUGUGCUGUGAGCUCGAUGAGUAGGGCGGGACACGUGGUAUCCUGUCUGAAUAUGGGGGGACCAUCCUCCAAGGCUAAAUACUCCUGACUGACCGAUAGUGAACCAGUACCGUGAGGGAAAGGCGAA